This 990-nucleotide long non-coding RNA is filed under the name Homo sapiens (human). RNAcentral describes it as "non-protein coding lnc-DACT3-1:1". The record is from RNAcentral. Lineage: Eukaryota; Metazoa; Chordata; Mammalia; Primates; Hominidae.
UGGUUUCUGUGUUUCACAUCCUUCCUAGAAAGGCUUCCUUCUGGUGGGUGCCUUGCCUUCUUCUGAGACAUCUCUGUGGGUCUCAGAGCCAUCGUUGCUGUGUUCCCUUUACCCUGGCCCAGCACCCUUAUCCUCUCAGGCAGUGUGCCUGUGUUUGUCAGGCUGGCUUAUGGGGUGGGGACAGAAACCCACUGAUGCACCCUCAUCCAGACUUUAUUAUUUAUGUAUUUUUGAGACAGAGUCUCGCUUUGUUGCCCAGGCUGGAGCGCAGUGACACGAUCUCGGCUCACUGCACCCUCUGCCCCCUGGGUUCAGGUGAUUCUCCUACCUCAGCCUCCCGAGUAGCUGGGAUUAUAGGUGUGUGCCACCAUGCCUGGCUAAUUUUUGUAAUUUUAGUAGAGAUGGGGUUUCAUCAUGUUGCCCAGGCCAGUCUCAAACUCCUGACCUCAAGUCAUCUGCCUGCCUCAGCCUCCUGAAGUGCUGGGAUUACAGGCAUGAGCCAUCGUGCCCGGCCACAUCCAGACUUCAGGUGUGGAAAGGAAUCAUGGUUCUCACAGGUGGCUGCUUUCAGCAGCUGAGGGGGUUUCUCUUUCUGGCCUUCAUCUCUUCCUCUCUUUUUGCCUGCUCGCUCUUCUUUCUCUCUCUCUCUCUCUCUGCAGAUUUCUGCUUUCUGGGCUCUUGCCUGCCCCACACCUAAGCCCUGUGCUAAGCCCUUUACCUCCUGAGCUUAUGUAGGCCUCACCACCAUCCUAGGAGAUCCUGGUGGCUUUGAGACACCUUCACUUCAAGAACAUUGUCCACUGUGACUUGAAACCAGAAAACGUGUUGCUGGCAUCAGCAGACCCAUUUCCUCAGGUGAAGCUGUGUGACUUUGGCUUUGCUCGCAUCAUCGGCGAGAAGUCGUUCCGCCGCUCAGUGGUGGGCACGCCGGCCUACCUGGCACCCGAGGUGCUGCUCAACCAGGGCUACAACCGCUCGCUGGACAUGUGG